AGAGUUUGAUCCUGGCUCAGAACGAACGCUGGCGGCAUGCCUAAUACAUGCAAGUCGAACGAGAUCUUCGGAUCUAGUGGCGCACGGGUGCGUAACGCGUGGGAAUCUGCCCUUGGGUUCGGAAUAACUUCUGGAAACGGAAGCUAAUACCGGAUGAUGACGUAAGUCCAAAGAUUUAUCGCCCAAGGAUGAGCCCGCGUAGGAUUAGCUAGUUGGUNGGGUAAAGGCCCNCCAAGGCNACGAUCCUUAGCUGGUCUGAGAGGAUGAUCAGCCACACUGGGACUGAGACACGGCCCAAUC
RNAcentral lists this ribosomal RNA (300 nucleotides) under uncultured Sphingomonas SH1. RNAcentral describes it as "bacterial SSU rRNA". It matches the Rfam family "Bacterial small subunit ribosomal RNA", at positions 8 to 336 of the family's 1533-position model. Lineage: Bacteria; Pseudomonadati; Pseudomonadota; Alphaproteobacteria; Sphingomonadales; Sphingomonadaceae. The record is from RNAcentral.